AACAGAGGAAUGUGUUAACUUCAUAGCAAUUCAAUGAGCAGAGUUCAAAAGUGCGAAACUUUACAAGACAAAUAACUUUGCUUCUCCAAAAAUUGAAUUGCAAGGAAAGAAAGUGGAGAGGGAGAAACUGACAGAGUAAAAGGAAUUUAAGACUCAUAUCAUCAGCCUAGAGCGGUGGCUCAUACCUAUUAAUAAAAUCCCCCAGCACUUUGAGAGGGCAAGGCGGGAGAAUCGCUUUAACCCAGGAAUUCAAGACCAAUUUAGGCAAAUAAGAGAGACCGUCUUUACAAAAAACUACAUAUAUAUAUAAAAUUUAUAUAUAUAAAAUAUAAAAUGUAUAUACUAUAUAAUUAUAUAUUAAAAUUAUAUAUUAUAUAUAAAUUAUGUUAUAUAUAAAUUUUAAUUAUAUAUAUAUAUAUAUAAAAGCUGGGUGUGUUGGCACAUGCCUCUGGUCCCAGAUACUUGGGAGAUUGAGGUGGGAGGAUUACUUGGGCCAGUGCAUGAUCACACCACUGCACUACAGCCUCAUUGACAGAGCAAGACCCUGUCUCGAAAAAAGCCAGCCAGAUAUGAGGGCGAUCUGACUGUGACAUCUGUCACUCUAUUGAUCGCCAGGGUUGAUUCGGCUGAUCUGGCUAGCUAGGCAGGAGUCCCCUUCCUCCCUCACCACUCCAUGUGCUUCCCUCUUGAAGCUGUGCACACUCAGUGGAAGAGGACAGCCAUCCCCAAUAGAGGAAGGCCAGUCUGCAGUCAAGGGUAUACAAGUAGCUGCAUUCCCCUACUAGAACCUCCAAACAAGCUCUCAAGGUUCAUUUGUAAGAGAACGUAGGGUUCUUUGAAGUCAAGCUUCCAAGACUCCAGACACAUCCAAGUGAGUUGCUGCAUGUGGCAGUCUGCCUUUCUUUAAAACAAACAAACAAAACCACCAAACUUCAGGUAAUAAGGCAGGUAAUGUUUUACAUAAUGCAUCUCAGUAUAAAACAUGCAACAAUUGAAUUAUUUACAUAGCCCAGCAGAAGCGAUUCAAUAGUCUGCCCUGAUGUGGACUGUAAGAAUGAUUAGAAAAGAAGUUAAGCCUGAGAAAGGUUUGAAAGAGAGUAAUAGUUUUGCUAAGUGGACAAGAGUGGAAAGGACAUUCCAGGCAGAGCAGCAUGUGUAAGAUAUACAGAAGGAAGGCAGUGAGACAGCAUGGGCUGUUCAGGGAAAUCAAAGCAGUCUGCUUUCAGGAGAAUAAAGUAAAAAAAGCCUGUGUCCAGAAAUAAGACAGGAGAACCAGGUAUCAUCAUAAGGGCCUCAUAUCCCAGUACUUUUCUCUCAGCUUUCUUUUCUGAUGUUAAUUCUAGUAAGUUCUGUGAGGGUGUACACGGUCAGGCUCUAAGAGGCCCCCAGUGAUCCCUGCAUUCUGGUAUUCACACCCUUGUGUAAUCCUCUCCCAAAAUGCACCAGGGUUGGUCUGGUCUGUGUGCCUAAUAGCGAUGCUAGGAACUCUGGUGGGGAAUGUUGAUAAUGGGUGAGGCUAUGCAUUUGUAGAGAAAAAGGGUAUAUGGGAAAUCUCUGUAAACAUCCACUGAAUUUUGUUGUGAACCUAAAACUGCUCUAAAAAAUAAACUCUAUUAAAAAGUAUAGGGGGGUGGUAUGUCACUUCCAAAAUUAGGCUUAAAAAGAAUCUAGCUUUUGUCUUGAGUGUUUUUCUCUCAUCUUUCACACUCUGGGAAAUGCAAAUACAUAAAAGAAUAUAAGAAACCCAUGAACCUCCAUAUACCAACCAUCCAGCUUCAAAAAUUAACAGAUUUUGUAAAUUUUGUUUUAUCUGUCUCCUCCCACUCUUACUUCUCCUCUCCAUCACCACUGAAGUAUUUUAAAGCAGAUCCCAGCCAUCACCUUAAAGUCAUGCACUUCAUUCAUAACAACGUUUUGGUCAUUGACAGACCACAUAUAUGACAGUGGUCUCAUAAGAUUAUAAUACUGUGUUUUUACAGUGCCUUUUCUAUGUUUAGAUAUGUUUAGAUACACAAAUCCUUACCAUUGUGUUGCCUACAGUAUUCAGUACAGUAAGUAAUACAUUGUACAAGUUUGUAGCCUAGGAGCAACAGGCUAUCCCAUAUAGCCUAGGUAUAUGGUAGGCUAUACCAUCUAGAUUUAUGUAAGUACACUCCGUGAUGUUUAUACAAAGAUGAAAUCACCUAAAGACAUAUUUCUCAGAACAUACCCCUGUCGUUAAGUGAUGCAUGACUGUAUUUCACCCACAUUUGAGUAUUUAACAGAUAAGGUCUAACUAUAACAACAUUAUCACACUUGAUAAAAUAAACAUUCCUUAAUAUCAUCUAAUACCCAAUCAAUGUUAAAAUUCCCCUAGUUACCACUUAAUUUGUUUACUAUUAUACUUUGAAGUUUUCUUUUUUUCCUGUCCCUUCUUUUGCUCACUUGGUCAAAUUUCUAUUUCGUUCCUUUGCCCUUUAAUUUUAGAAAUUCUUCUAUAGUUUCUAUUCUAUUUGGUGUGUGUAUCUGCACUGCAACAGAUAUAGUUAAACGUAUUUCUCUACGAAGAUACUCACAUUAAGAGGCUGUUAUCCAUCCUGGCUACCACGGUGAAACCCCGUCUCUACUAAAAAUACAAAAAAAAAAAAU
RNAcentral lists this long non-coding RNA (2628 nucleotides) under Homo sapiens (human). Its description in RNAcentral is "HSALNT0017653". The stretch from base 566 to 905 matches the Rfam family "7SK RNA". The record is from RNAcentral. Lineage: Eukaryota; Metazoa; Chordata; Mammalia; Primates; Hominidae.